UGGGGAAUAUUGCACAAUGGGGGAAACCCUGAUGCAGCGACGCCGCGUGAGCGAAGAAGGCUUUCGAGUCGUAAAGCUCUGUCCUAUGAGAAGAUAAUGACGGUAUCAUAGGAGGAAGCCCUGGCUAAAUACGUGCCAGCAGCCGCGGUAAUACGUAUGGGGCGAGCGUUGUCCGGAAUUAUUGGGCGUAAAGGGUACGUAGGCGGUUUUUUAAGUCGGGUGUCAAAGCGUGGAGCUUAACUCCAUUAAGCACUUGAAACUGAAAGACUUGAGUGAAGGAGAGGAAAGUGGAAUUCCUAGUGUAGCGGUGAAAUGCGUAGAUAUUAGGAGGAAUACCGGUGGCGAAGGCGACUUUCUGGACUUUUACUGACGCUCAGGUACGAAAGCGUGGGGAGCAAACAGG
RNAcentral lists this ribosomal RNA (403 nucleotides) under Verrucomicrobiota bacterium. RNAcentral's name for it is "Verrucomicrobia bacterium partial 16S ribosomal RNA". It matches the Rfam family "Bacterial small subunit ribosomal RNA", at positions 355 to 776 of the family's 1533-position model. The record is from RNAcentral. Lineage: Bacteria; Pseudomonadati; Verrucomicrobiota.